UACGGAGGGUGCAAACGUUGCUCGGAAUCAUUGGGCGUAAAGCGCACGUAGGCGGUUCGCUAUGUCGGAUGUGAAAGCCCUCGGCUUAACCGAGGAAGGGCAUCCGAAACUGGCGGGCUUGAGUACGGAAGAGGGUCUCGGAAUUCCCGGUGUAGAGGUGAAAUUCGUAGAUAUCGGGAGGAACACCAGUGGCGAAGGCGGAGACCUGGGCCGAUACUGACGCUGAGGUGCGAAAGCGUGGGGAGCAAACAGG
RNAcentral lists this ribosomal RNA (253 nucleotides) under uncultured bacterium. RNAcentral's name for it is "partial 16S ribosomal RNA". It matches the Rfam family "Bacterial small subunit ribosomal RNA", at positions 524 to 776 of the family's 1533-position model. The record is from RNAcentral.